AGAACACACUGCAGACUCAUAG
This 22-nucleotide microRNA is filed under the name Xenopus laevis (African clawed frog). RNAcentral's name for it is "Xla-Novel-19_5p (mature (guide))". The record is from RNAcentral. Lineage: Eukaryota; Metazoa; Chordata; Amphibia; Anura; Pipidae.